This 253-nucleotide ribosomal RNA is filed under the name uncultured bacterium. RNAcentral's name for it is "partial 16S ribosomal RNA". It matches the Rfam family "Bacterial small subunit ribosomal RNA", at positions 524 to 776 of the family's 1533-position model. The record is from RNAcentral.
GACAGAGGGUGCAAACGUUGCUCGGAAUUACUGGGCGUAAAGCGCGUGUAGGCGGGCCGAUAAGUCAGGCGUGAAAUCCCCGAGCUCAACUCGGGAACUGCACCUGAAACUGUCGGCCUAGAGUGAUGGAGAGGGUAGCGGAAUUCCUGGUGUAGAAGUGAAAUUCGUAGAUAUCAGGAGGAACACCGGUGGCGAAGGCGACUACCUGGACAUUAACUGACGCUUAGACGCGAAAGCGUGGGGAGCAAACAGG